Molecule: long non-coding RNA, 726 nt
Organism: Chroicocephalus ridibundus (black-headed gull)
Lineage: Eukaryota; Metazoa; Chordata; Aves; Charadriiformes; Laridae
Exons: 4
Source: RefSeq, a predicted model, not a curated record
CACGCCACGCCCCCACAGCCAGAUUCGCGCCCCGGCUCUGUGCGCGGGGGUGGGGGGGAAGGCGACGCGCAUGCGCCAACGAGCCAGGUGUUGGGCUGACAGACUCCCUGGAGCUCCACAAAGCGUUGGCCACGUAGACAGCCGAAUUCCCGUUUCAGUGGGUUGAGGCACAGAGUGAUAAAUGAGAGUUUUUGAUCACUUUGGGUAUACUCGGCUACUUCUGCAUAAUUUACUACUGACUGCAAGGAGAGCAGGCUUGGAAAUAAACUCAUAUAUACAUAAUAGAGAACUGACAGGGGUUUGAGAUGAGUCCAGCACACCAGUCAGCAUGAGCAGGAGAGCAGCCCCACCAGGAAAUGGCUACUGCAGUCCCUGGGUAAAGGCAAGCAUCUUAAAAAUCAAACCUCAGAAGCUGUGCUUUGCACGCUGGACUCGCAGGAUGGAUGGAUGUUAGUAUUUACUGCAUGACUCAUGGCCAGGGAGGAUCCCUGGCAGUAAAGACAGUGACCUCUGCUUUGAAUCCAGGUAACUGCCGCUUGCUUGCAGCACACGUGGCAUUGUAGUGCAGUCGCAGCAACUUCAGCGAAGUGGCAAGUCCGCAUCGCUUUCCAAGAAACCAUUUCAGCCUGGCUGCCCGGAGCUCGGCUUUGCGCAGCCUGGCCAGGCAGCUGGUUUGCGUGAGACCCCGUGAGCUGGGAGUGUGCCGAAAUCCCUCAAACGCCUGUC